Molecule: ribosomal RNA, 468 nt
Filed under: uncultured bacterium
Lineage: Bacteria
Description: partial 16S ribosomal RNA
Rfam family: Bacterial small subunit ribosomal RNA
Source: RNAcentral
GACGAACGCUGGCGGCGUGCUUAACACAUGCAAGUCGAACGGAAAGGCCCUGCUUUUGUGGGGUGCUCGAGUGGCGAACGGGUGAGUAACACGUGUGUAGCCUGCCCUUGACUUUGGGAUAACUUCAGGAAACUGGGGCUAAUACCGGAUAGGAGCUCCUGCUGCAUGGUGGGGGUUGGAAAGUUUCGGCGGUUGGGGAUGGACUCGCGGCUUAUCAGCUUGUUGGUGGGGUAGUGGCUUACCAAGGCUUUGACGGGUAGCCGGCCUGAGAGGGUGACCGGCCACAUUGGGACUGAGAUACGGCCCAGACUCCUACGGGAGGCAGCAGUGGGGAAUAUUGCACAAUGGGCGGAAGCCUGAUGCAGCAACGCCGCGUGCGGGAUGACGGCCUUCGGGUUGUAAACCGCUUUCGCCUGUGACGAAGCGUGAGUGACGGUAAUGGGUAAAGAAGCACCGGCUAACUACGUG